This 1147-nucleotide long non-coding RNA is filed under the name Neogale vison (American mink). RNAcentral's name for it is "Neovison vison (American mink) lncRNA (ENSNVIG00000022219.1)". The record is from RNAcentral. Lineage: Eukaryota; Metazoa; Chordata; Mammalia; Carnivora; Mustelidae.
UCCUUCUGGAGGCCAACAGGUUAAGGACAUGUUGGAUGGUGACAGAGAGCUGACCAUGCUGCUCGUGAGGACCUCAAAUGGAGACUGUCAGAGCUGGCUCCAGCAAGUGUGGGAGCACCGGGAUGAAACGCAGGAGACCACAGGAGUACCGGCCACAACCCUGCAUGUAGCUCUGGUCAAAGGCGCAGCCAUCAGGCCGAUUGCUUCCGUUUUCCUUGUGGUCCUCACGCACUCAAUCGUCCUUGUCGUCCAAGGCAUAGUCCUUUGAGUAACAGGUACUGUGGGUAGAACUGAGUCAGAAGUGAGAGGCAGAUGGCCUGAGGUGAGCACAGAGAAAGGUGAAUAGCAAGCCUUUGUCCUAUUGCCUGAACCUUCUCACCUGAAUAUGAGACCAGAUGUGUUGGACUAGAUUAGCUUCUCCCAAGAAAGAGACUCAUCAGGAGCUGCUGAUGUAGAGGUUGAGGUACAUAAUUAUUACAAGGGAUUGGCUCACGACUAGGGGGUCUGUGAGUUGGAGUAACAGGGAAGCUGGUGGUGGGGUUCCAGCACAAACCUGAACGCCUGAGAAUCAGGGCCUCAGCGGUGUAAGUCUAGGUCCUGUUCCAAAGAACAAAAAGAACAAAACUAGGUCCAGGAGUGCUAAUCAUGAAUGCCCAGGGCAGCAGAAGGAUGGCCCAGCCAAACUGAGAGCAACGUCACCUUUCCUCCACCGUUUGUUCCAUUCAGGCCCUUGCGGAUUCGAUGAGGACAGUCUUCUUAACUCAGUCUACUGAUUCAAAUGCCCAUCUCUUCCAGAAACACUCUCUAGACAGACCCAGAAAGAACGUUUUCCUAGCUACUGGGGUGUCCCUUGGCCCAGUUGAGUUGACCUGGAAAAGGAGUCUCACAUUGCUUGGUUGUAGUUACGUGGGCAAGCUUAGCCUUGAGCUCUGAUAGCGCCUCGCUAAGGCUGAUGGGAAAGCACAGGGCUCUCCCUUCCCUAACCCCAAACUUUACAUCCGGUUUUUGCUAAAAGGAUUGAGCAAAAUCAGGCCUGACUCAGACCAGCUUUUCACCUGGGGAGGCGCCCAAGUGGGGGGUGGUGUACAGACAGUAGGAGCACCGGGCACGGAUAGCACUUUGGUUUGGGGGAGAGCAGCUGGUGGCU